CGUCUAUAUACGUAUAGCAUAUCAAUAAGCGGAGGAAAAGAAACUAACAAGGAUUCCCCUAGUAACGGCGAGUGAAGCGGGAAGAGCUCAAAUUUGAAAUCUUAAAGGGUUUCCCUUUACGAAUUGUAGUUUAAAGAAGUGUUUUCUGUUGGAGUUUCGGUAAAAGUUCUUUGGAAUAGGACAUCAUAGAGGGUGAGAAUCCCGUAUUUGACCGUUACUUUCCAGCUUUGUGAUACACUUUCAAAGAGUCGGAUUGUUUGGGAAUGCAGUCCAAAAUGGGUGGUAAAUUUCAUCUAAAGCUAAAUAUUGGCGAGAGACCGAUAGCGAACAAGUACCGUGAGGGAAAGAUGAAAAGAACUUUGAAAAGAGAGUUAAACAGUACGUGAAAUUGUCAAAAGGGAAGCGUUUGACACCAGUGUUGUUUUCUCGAAAAUCAAUUCAUGAUGGCUUGAUGCUAGGUUGUUAAGACUUUAUCAGCUUACUGUCUAGUUUUCUUGUCUUUGUGAAUGCACUUUUCGUUUAACAAGUCAACAUCAAUUUCUUUUGCUGUAAAAGGGUAAUAGGAAGGUGGCUUCAUCUUCGGUAGAAAGUGUUUAUAGCCUUUGAUCCUCUGCAAUCGGAGAGAUUGAGGUCUGCAGCGUAGACUCUUCGGGGUUAGAUACAUUUGUGCUAAGUUAUAGCUUCUCAUAGACAACUUGUUGACUAUAUUUAGUCUUGUAGCUUACUCGCUUAUGCUAUUUUACCUACGCUUAGGAUGUUGACACACGCGCGUGCUCG
This 777-nucleotide ribosomal RNA is filed under the name uncultured Neocallimastigales. Its description in RNAcentral is "partial large subunit ribosomal RNA". It matches the Rfam family "Eukaryotic large subunit ribosomal RNA", at positions 26 to 656 of the family's 3401-position model. The record is from RNAcentral. Lineage: Eukaryota; Fungi; Neocallimastigomycota; Neocallimastigomycetes; Neocallimastigales.